UACGUAGGUGACCAGCGUUGUCCGGAUUUACUGGGCGUAAAGAGCGCGCAGGCGGUCGUUCAAGUCGAGUGUGAAAGCCCCCGGCUCAACUGGGGAGGGUCACUCGAUACUGAUCGACUUGAAGGCAGGAGAGGGAAGCGGAAUUCCCGGUGUAGUGGUGAAAUGCGCAGAUAUCAGGAAGAACACCCGUGGCGAAAGCGGCUCUCUGGAACGGUACUGACGCUGAGACGCGAAAGCGUGGGUAGCAAACAGG
RNAcentral lists this ribosomal RNA (253 nucleotides) under uncultured bacterium. Its description in RNAcentral is "partial 16S ribosomal RNA". It matches the Rfam family "Bacterial small subunit ribosomal RNA", at positions 524 to 776 of the family's 1533-position model. The record is from RNAcentral.